UACGAAGGGUGCAAGCGUUACUCGGAAUUACUGGGCGUAAAGCGUGCGUAGGUGGUUUGUUAAGUCUGAUGUGAAAGCCCUGGGCUCAACCUGGGAACGGCAUUGGAAACUGGCUUACUAGAGUGCGGUAGAGGGGUGUGGAAUUCCCGGUGUAGCAGUGAAAUGCGUAGAUAUCGGGAGGAACAUCUGUGGCGAAGGCGACACCCUGGACCAGCACUGACACUGAGGCACGAAAGCGUGGGGAGCAAACAGG
This 253-nucleotide ribosomal RNA is filed under the name uncultured bacterium. Its description in RNAcentral is "partial 16S ribosomal RNA". It matches the Rfam family "Bacterial small subunit ribosomal RNA", at positions 524 to 776 of the family's 1533-position model. The record is from RNAcentral.